Molecule: ribosomal RNA, 497 nt
Filed under: uncultured bacterium
Lineage: Bacteria
Description: partial 16S ribosomal RNA
Rfam family: Bacterial small subunit ribosomal RNA
Source: RNAcentral
GAUGAACGCUGGCGGCGUGCCUAAUACAUGCAAGUCGAGCGAACGGACGAGAAGCUUGCUUCUCUGAUGUUAGCGGCGGACGGGUGAGUAACACGUGGAUAACCUACCUAUAAGACUGGGAUAACUUCGGGAAACCGGAGCUAAUACCGGAUAAUAUUUUGAAACGCAUGGUUCAAAAGUGAAAGACGGUCUUGCUGUCACUUAUAGAUGGAUCCGCGCUGCAUUAGCUGGUUGGUAAGGUAACGGCUUACCAAGGCAACGAUGCAUAGCCGACCUGAGAGGGUGACGGCCCACACGGGACCUGAAACACGGUCCAGACUCCUACGGAAGGCAGCAGUAGGGAAUCUUCCGCAAUGGGCGAAAGCCUGACGGGGCAACGCCGCGUGAGUGAUGAAGGUCUUCGGAUCGUAAAACUCUGUUAUUAGGGAAGAACAUAUGUGUAAGUAACUGUGCACAUCGUGACGGUACCUAAUCAGAAAGCCACGGCUAACUACGUG